GACGAACGCUGGCGGCGUGCCUAAUACAUGCAAGUAGAACGCACAGUUUAUACCGUAGCUUGCUACACCAUAGACUGUGAGUUGCGAACGGGUGAGUAACGCGUAGGUAACCUGCCUGGUAGCGGGGGAUAACUAUUGGAAACGAUAGCUAAUACCGCAUAAUAUUAAUUAUUGCAUGAUAAUUAAUUGAAAGGUGCAAUUGCACCACUACCAGAUGGACCUGCGUUGUAUUAGCUAGUAGGUGAGGUAACGGCUCACCUAGGCGACGAUACAUAGCCGACCUGAGAGGGUGAUCGGCCACACUGGGACUGAGACACGGCCCAGACUCCUACGGGAGGCAGCAGUAGGGAAUCUUCGGCAAUGGACGAAAGUCUGAACGAGCAACGCCGCGUGAGUGAAGAAGGUUUUCGGAUCGUAAAGCUCUGUUGUAAGAGAAGAACGGGUGUGAGAGUGGAAAGUUCACACUGUGACGGUAUCUUACCAGAAAGGGACGGCUAACUACGU
RNAcentral lists this ribosomal RNA (504 nucleotides) under uncultured bacterium. Its description in RNAcentral is "partial 16S ribosomal RNA". It matches the Rfam family "Bacterial small subunit ribosomal RNA", at positions 28 to 506 of the family's 1533-position model. The record is from RNAcentral.